Molecule: ribosomal RNA, 859 nt
Filed under: uncultured bacterium
Lineage: Bacteria
Description: bacterial SSU rRNA
Rfam family: Bacterial small subunit ribosomal RNA
Source: RNAcentral
GGGAUAGGACAGGUUGCUUUCCCUGAGAUGGGUGGAUGGGUGCGUAACGCGAAGGCCACCUACCUUCUUCCGGGGGAUAGCCCUCGAAAACAAGGAUUAACACCGCAUAAAAACACAACCUGGCAUCAGGAAAUGUUCAAAUAUUUAUAGGAUGAAUAUGGACAUGCUUGUCAUUAGCUAGUUGGUGAGGUAACGGCUUACCAAGGCGACGAUGACUAGGGGAUCUGAGAGGAUGACCCCCCACACUGGUACUGACACCCCCACCAUACUCCUACGGGAGGCAGCACUAAGGAAUAUUGGUCAAUGGAGGCAACUCUGAACCACCCAUGCCGCGGGCCUGAAUACAGCCCUAUGGGUCGUAAACUGCUUUUAUACGGGAAUAAACCUUGAUUCGUGGAUCAAGCUGAAUGUACCGUAAGAAUAAGGAUCGGCUAACUCCGUGCCAUCAGCCGCGGGAAUACGGAGGAUCCAAGCGUUAUCCGGAUUUAUUGGGUUUAAAGGGAGCGUAGGCGGCUUGUUAAUUCAGGGGUGAAAGACUGUGGCUCAACCAUCCCACUGCCUUUGAUACUGACGAGCUUGAAUAUAGUUGAGGUAGGCGGAAUGUGACAAGUAUCGGUGAAAUGCAUAGAUAUGUCACAGAACACCGAUUGCGAAGGCAGCUUACUAAGCUAUUAUUGACGCUGANGCUCGAAAGCGUGAGGAUCAAACAGGAUUAGAUACCCUGGUAGUCCACGCCCUAAACGAUGAUAACUCGAUGUUGGCGAUAUACAGUCAGCGUCUAAACGAAAGCGUUAUGUUAUCCACCUGGGGAGUACGCCCGCAAGGGUGACACUCAAAAGANUGACGGGGGCCCGCACAA